UUUCGUUGUUUAUUUUAUUUUAUUUUUCUUACUUUUAUUUUAGAUUGUUUUCUUUACCCUUUAUGAAUUUAUUUUUUUCUUUCUUUUUUUUCUUUCCUUCUUUAGGUUUAGUUUGUUUUUUUACAUUUAUUUUAGAUGGCUAUAAAUAAAAAGAAAGUCGUUUUUCAAAAUGAUAAUGCGACGAGGCAUUCCCUGAGACAAAAGCGUGUC
Molecule: long non-coding RNA, 210 nt
Filed under: Vitis vinifera (wine grape)
Lineage: Eukaryota; Viridiplantae; Streptophyta; Magnoliopsida; Vitales; Vitaceae
Description: long non-coding RNA (VVIN_LNC002913)
Source: RNAcentral